This 1379-nucleotide ribosomal RNA is filed under the name Austrolophrum cribriceps. Its description in RNAcentral is "partial 16S ribosomal RNA". The record is from RNAcentral. Lineage: Eukaryota; Metazoa; Arthropoda; Insecta; Coleoptera; Staphylinidae.
AAAGAUUUUGGCGGUAUUUUAGUCUAUUUAGAGGAACCUGUUCUAUAAUUGAUAUUCCACGAUUAAUUUUACUUAAAUUAAAUAAUUUGUAUAUCGUCGUUAUUAGAAUAUUUUAAAAGAAUAUUAAUAUUCAUAAUUUUUAUUAAAAAAUAAAUCAGAUCAAGGUGCAGUUUAUAUUUAAGGUAGAAAUGGGUUACAUUAAUUUAAAAUUUUGGAUUUAAAAUUGAAAAUUUUAAUUAAAUUGGAUUUGAAAGUAAUAAAAAUAAUUUAAUUUUUAUGAUUUUAGCUCUAAAAUAUGUACAUAUCGCCCGUCGCUCUCAUUUAAAGUGAGAUAAGUCGUAACAAAGUAGAUGUAUUGGAAAAUGUAUCUAGAAAGACAAAUUAGAGCUUGAAAUAAAGCAUUUUAUUUACAUUAAAAAGUUAAUUGUGUGAUUCAAUUUAAUGAUAUUUAAAUAUUUAUUUUAUUUUAAUAUUUAACUAAAAUAUUAUUAAGUUUUAUUAUUUUAAGAAAAAAUUAUUUUAAUUAUAAUUAAUUAGUAUUGUGAAAGAAAAUUUAAAUAUUUGAAAAUUUAAAUAUUUUAAAGAAAAAUUUAAUUUUUGUACCUUGUGUAUCAGGGUUUAUUAAUUAAUAAUUAUAUAUUUAAUUUUCUCGAUUUUGGAAGAGUUAAAAAAAUAUUUAUUUUAUUGUAUAAUAAAUAUUUAAAAUAUUUUUUUUGAAAUGAAACGUUAUUCGUUUCCAAAUAUAUCUAGUUUUUUUAGAAAAGAAUUAAAUUCUUUAAUUAAUUAUUAAUUUUUAUAAUUGUAUAAAAAUUAUAAUUAAUUUAAAAAAAAUUUAGGGAUAAGCUUAAAUUUUGAAUAUUAUAAAUUAUUUUAAAUAAAAUUAUUGUAGGAUUAGAAAUUUUCAUCUUUAAAUUUGUUAUAAUUAAAAUUUUAUUAUAUAAAAUUUAUAUUUAUUUUAAUUUUUUUAUAAAAAUAAUUUAUUUAAUUAAUAAAUAAAUGUAUUUAUGAUAAAAUUAGUAUUAAUAUUUGUAACUAUAAUUAUAAAUUAAGGUUAAAUUAAGGAAUUCGGCAAAUAAAUUUUUCGCCUGUUUAAUAAAAACAUGUCUUUUUGAUAAUAAUUUAAAGUCUAAUCUGCCCACUGAUUUUUAAAGGGCCGCAGUAUUUUGACUGUGCUAAGGUAGCAUAAUAAUUAGUUUUUUAAUUGAAAGCUGGAAUGAAUGAUUGGACGAGAAAAUAACUGUCUCAAUUUGAUUGUAAAAGAAUUUUAUUUUUAAGUUAAAAAGCUUAAAUUUAUUUAAAAGACGAGAAGACCCUAUAGAGUUUUAUAUUAUUAUUAUUAUAGAAUUUAAAGGAUAUCUAUUUUUUUUUAAUAAUAAUAA